UGGGUUGUGGCUCAGUGGUAGAGCACUUGCCUAGCAUGUGUGAGGCAUUGGGUUCUAUUCCCAGCAUCCCAU
Molecule: transfer RNA, 72 nt
Filed under: Ictidomys tridecemlineatus (thirteen-lined ground squirrel)
Lineage: Eukaryota; Metazoa; Chordata; Mammalia; Rodentia; Sciuridae
Description: Spermophilus tridecemlineatus (thirteen-lined ground squirrel) tRNA
Rfam family: tRNA
About the family: Transfer RNA (tRNA) molecules are approximately 80 nucleotides in length. Their secondary structure includes four short double-helical elements and three loops (D, anti-codon, and T loops).
Source: Rfam by way of RNAcentral